CAGAACAUAGCUUAAUAAAGUACUUCGCUUACACCGAAUCGUUGUCUGUUAACCCAGGCUGUUCUGAG
Molecule: transfer RNA, 68 nt
Filed under: Pristimantis ockendeni (Carabaya robber frog)
Lineage: Eukaryota; Metazoa; Chordata; Amphibia; Anura; Strabomantidae
Description: tRNA-Val
Rfam family: tRNA
About the family: Transfer RNA (tRNA) molecules are approximately 80 nucleotides in length. Their secondary structure includes four short double-helical elements and three loops (D, anti-codon, and T loops).
Source: RNAcentral